RNAcentral lists this ribosomal RNA (482 nucleotides) under uncultured bacterium. RNAcentral describes it as "partial 16S ribosomal RNA". It matches the Rfam family "Bacterial small subunit ribosomal RNA", at positions 30 to 507 of the family's 1533-position model. The record is from RNAcentral.
AUUGAACGCUGGCGGCAUGCCUUACACAUGCAAGUCGAACGGUAACAGGCCUUCGGAUGCUGACGAGUGGCGAACGGGUGAGUAAUACAUCGGAACGCGCCCGAUCGUGGGGGGUAACGGAGCGAAAGCUUUUCUAAUACCGCAUAAUAUCUACGGAUUAAAGCAGGGGACCGCAAGGCCUUGCGCGAACGGGGCGGCCGAUGGCAGAUUAGGUAGUUGGUGGGAUAAAAGCUUCCCACGCCGACGAUCUGUAGCUGGUCUGAGAGGACGACCAGCGACACUGGGACUGAGACACGGCCCAGACUCCUACGGGAGGCAGCGGUGGGGAAUGUUGGACAAAGGGCGAAAGCCUGAUCCAGCCAUGCAGCGUGGAGGAUGAAGGCCUUCGGGUUGUAAAAUGCUUUUGUAGGGAACGAAAAGACUCUGGUUAAUACCUGGGGUCCAUGACGGUACCGGAAGAAUAAGCACCGGCUAACUACGUG